Molecule: ribosomal RNA, 492 nt
Filed under: uncultured bacterium
Lineage: Bacteria
Description: partial 16S ribosomal RNA
Rfam family: Bacterial small subunit ribosomal RNA
Source: RNAcentral
AGUGAACGCUGGCGGUAGGCCUAACACAUGCAAGUCGAACGGCAGCACAGUAAGAGCUUGCUCUUACGGGUGGCGAGUGGCGGACGGGUGAGGAAUACAUCGGAAUCUACUUUUUCGUGGGGGAUAACGUAGGGAAACUUACGCUAAUACCGCAUACGACCUACGGUUGAAAGCAGGGGAUCUUCGGACCUUGCGCGAUUGAAUGAGCCGAUGUCGGAUUAGCUAGUUGGCGGGGUAAAGGCCCACCAAGGCAACGAUCCGUAGCUGGUCUGAGAGGAUGAUAAGCCACACUGGAACUGAGACACGGUCCAGACUCCUAAGGGAGGCAGCAGUGGGGAAUAUUGGACAAUGGGCGCAAGCCUGAUCCAGCCAUACCGCGUGGGUGAAGAAGGCCUUCGGGUUGUAAAGCCCUUUUGUUGGGAAAGAAAAGCAGCAGGUUAAUACCCCGCUGUUCUGACGGUACCCAAAGAAUAAGCACCGGCUAACUUCGUG